This 253-nucleotide ribosomal RNA is filed under the name uncultured bacterium. RNAcentral's name for it is "partial 16S ribosomal RNA". It matches the Rfam family "Bacterial small subunit ribosomal RNA", at positions 524 to 776 of the family's 1533-position model. The record is from RNAcentral.
UACGGGGGGGGCAAGCGUUGUUCGGAAUUACUUGGCGUAAAGGGCGCGUAGGCGGUUUGUUAAGUUGGAUGUGAAAACUCUGGGCUUAACCCAGAGCCUGCAUCCAAAACUGGCAGGCUAGAGUUUUGGAGGGGGAAGCGGAAUUCCUGGUGUAGCAGUGAAAUGCGUAGAUAUCAGGAGGAACACCGGUGGCGAAGGCGGCUUCCUGGACAAAAACUGACGCUGAGGCGCGAAAGCUAGGGGAGCAAACAGG